RNAcentral lists this long non-coding RNA (1383 nucleotides) under Androctonus crassicauda. Lineage: Eukaryota; Metazoa; Arthropoda; Arachnida; Scorpiones; Buthidae. The record is from RNAcentral.
UUGUUUUGUUAUUAUGUUAAAGUUAAUAUUAAUGUUAAUUAAGUUAAUUGUUUGAUUUAUAUCAUUUAAAAUAUUGUUUAAAGUAAUAAGUGAAAUAAUGCAGUCAAGUUUAUCUUUAUCCUUUGUUAUUUAUAUAAAAUUAUGCUAAUAAGGUGGUGAUUGAAAGAAGAACCAAAAGGAGGUGUUGUAGUCUUGCCUGUCAUCUUUGUCGUCUUCGUAUUGGAAUGUGCCGUCAUCCUGGUGUUGCCAUCAUUGCCAUUUUGUGUUCGUUGUAUGGUUAUCGUCAUUGCCUUGAGACUGUUGCUUGUCAUCUUGUACUGUGGUGAAUUUUUUAUUAUGUUAAAUGUUAUUAGUGAAAGUAGACUGUGAGUUGCAGCUAGUAUUUGGAUUGUUAGUGAUAUGUCGGCAAAAGUCUAUAUUGUGAAUUAUUGUUUAUCAUCAUCACGUAAUUUGUUCUAUAGUUCCAGAAAGGCAGUUAAUAUUAUUAUACAGGCAAGAAUUGUUUCUGCAAAAAGUUUUAAUACAUUAAUAUUAUAUCUUGUUAGUAAAAUUGCAUUUAGUAUGGAGCAUGUAUUUGAAUCAUUAUUUCUCUGAAUGGAAAACAAUGAAAUUAGUGUACAAAUUAAGAUCGGUAUUAAUCGAAAGCUGCCCAACAGCGAACCACGGUGCCGAACUGAGAGUAGGCGGGUCAGAGGUAUGCAUGACUGUCACAUAUAUGGCAACCUUCUAAUUCUAUAAAAUAUAUAUUUGUAUGCAUAUAAAAUAUAUAUAAACCCAAUUACUUUCAGUUCCUUAUAAUAGAACUAUAUACAUUAGAGCAAAGAGAAAAUCAUAAAUUUGUUAGAUAUGGACUCAGAGAAGUAAUAAUAAUAGAAAAGAUGUGAUGAACAGGAAUCGCUGAAGGAAAAAGAAAUUUCUGUUAAAAAAAAAUACCUGGAAGAACCAUGAUAAAACGAUAACAAAGGAGACCAAAUCAAUUUUCAAAAUUUUUAUCUUUUGUGCAUAUGUAUUAAAUGCUUUCUUAAUCCAGGAAAUAAUUUCAUCUCCCAAUAAUUGUUUAGAAUAUACUGUGAGUUUUUCUUUAAACUGAAGUCUGAUUUUUGACAUUGAGUCGGUUCUGAUACAUAUAUCAUGUCGGGAAUCAUUGGCUAUGAAUUUUUUUUAAUUCUAACAGCUAUGCAUUUGAACAUAUUGGCCCUUUUGAGCGGAUUCAAAUCGUUGAACAUUUUUGGUGGUUAUGUCUGUGUGAAGAGUCGACCGACCCUGGAAGAGUGGGAGAUGGCCAUAAGCGGUCAAGAAACAGUCAGUUUUGGACCAGCAGUCGAGAGGAUAAGUUCCAUCGAUUACUGGUGCACUCAAGGGUAUUUAUUCUUUGUUGAGUUU